AGGAUCAGUGGUUUUGAUAUGGCACCUCCCACCAGUGCAUUGCUAUCUGGCGCUACUGAUGUUGCAGGUCAAGUUCCUGGGACCACUAACCCAUCAAUACCUGGAAUGUUUUCUAACAUGUUUCCUCUAGCAGCAGGCCAGUUUGGAGCUCUCCCUAUUAUGCCAGUCCAGGCAAUGACACAGCAGGCUACCAGACAUGCUCGGCGAGUUUAUGUUGGUGGACUUCCGCCUACUGCAAAUGAACAGUCGGUUGCUACCUUCUUUAGUCAUGUCAUGUAUGCAAUCGGAGGAAAUACUGCUGGUCCAGGGGAUGCUGUUGUCAACGUUUAUAUAAACCAUGAGAAGAAGUUUGCCUUUGUUGAAAUGAGAUCUGUUGAGGAAGCUAGU
RNAcentral lists this unclassified non-coding RNA (387 nucleotides) under Hevea brasiliensis (rubber tree). The record is from RNAcentral. Lineage: Eukaryota; Viridiplantae; Streptophyta; Magnoliopsida; Malpighiales; Euphorbiaceae.